RNAcentral lists this ribosomal RNA (253 nucleotides) under uncultured bacterium. Its description in RNAcentral is "partial 16S ribosomal RNA". It matches the Rfam family "Bacterial small subunit ribosomal RNA", at positions 524 to 776 of the family's 1533-position model. The record is from RNAcentral.
UACGAAGGGGGCUAGCGUUGUUCGGAUUCACUGGGCGUAAAGCGCACGUAGGCGGAUCGUUAAGUCAGGGGUGAAAUCCUGGAGCUCAACUCCAGAACUGCCUUUGAUACUGGCGAUCUUGAGUCCGGAAGAGGUGAGUGGAACUCCUAGUGUAGAGGUGGAAUUCGUAGAUAUUAGGAAGAACACCAGUGGCGAAGGCGGCUCACUGGUCCGGUACUGACGCUGAGGUGCGAAAGCGUGGGGAGCAAACAGG